UACGUAGGGUGCAAGCGUUGUCCGGAAUUAUUGGGCGUAAAGAGCUCGUAGGCGGUUUGUCGCGUCUGCUGUGAAAACUCGGGGCUUAACUCCGGGCCUGCAGUGGGUACGGGCAGACUAGAGUGCGGUAGGGGAGACUGGAAUUCCUGGUGUAGCGGUGAAAUGUGUAGAGAUCGGGAGGAACACCGGUGGCGAAGGCGGGUCUCUGGGCAUCUCCUGACGCUGAGGCGCGAAAGCGUGGGGAGCAAACGGG
This 253-nucleotide ribosomal RNA is filed under the name uncultured bacterium. RNAcentral's name for it is "partial 16S ribosomal RNA". It matches the Rfam family "Bacterial small subunit ribosomal RNA", at positions 524 to 776 of the family's 1533-position model. The record is from RNAcentral.